CUCAGCUGACUACAACCUCUGCCUCCCAGGCUCAAGCGAUUCUCCUGCCUCAGCCUCCCAAGUAGCUGGGAUUACAGGCACAUGUCACCACGCCUGGCUAAUUUUUGCAUUUUUAGCAGAGACGGGGUUUCACCAUGUUGGCCAGGAUGGUCUCGAUCUCUUGACCUCAUGAUCCGCCCACCUCGGCCUCCUGAAGUGGUGGGAUUACAGGUGUGAGCCACUGCACCUGGCCACAAAUGUUCAUUUCAUACCAAGAAAGUGACUUGGAGAAUGCUGACACUUAUCCAGACGAUUCUGGAAGCAAAAACCACACUUACUCUUAAGGAAGGUAAUCUUUAGGUGAUUGGGGUUCUGAAUUUUCCAGAUAAUUUGCAUAAAUUAGAAAACUGUUAAAUGAGGUAUGUUACUUUUUAAAUACAGACUGAGGUUUCUUUUUUCCUUUAAAAAUGACAUUCAAUAGGCACUUACUCUUGAUGUUUUAAACUUGUAAUUUAUUCAUACAAGAUUCCAAAAAUAGUUACAGUUCCAAAUAUUGCUAUUCAUUUGAUUUAUGCAUAUAGCCUACUAAACUUUAAAAAUUUAGCUAAAUGUAUAUUUGAUAUUUCAUAUUUUUUCAAUUCUUCCUCCUCUAAGGACUUGAAAUUUAAAAAAAAUAAAAGAAUUAAAGGUAUUUAACUGUAAAAAUAUUCUGUUUACUCAUUUAUUCAUUCAACAAAUAUUUAUUGAGCUUCUGUUAUGUGCUAUGUGCUGGGAAACCAUUAAGAACAUGGCAUCUACCUUUGUGAAACUUGCAGAUUACUGGGGAAGACAGCGUCUGAAUAAUUUCAAUGUAGGGUAACACAUAAGCUAGUUUGGGUUUCAGAAAUGGCCUUCUGUGAAAGUAAUUUCUAAUCUGUAGUAGAGACAUUAGGUGCCCAGAAGUGGAUGGAGGGAGUCCAGUUAGGAGACUCUUGUGGAAGGCUAAGAAAAGGUUACAAAGUGGACUGCAGGGUGAAAAUAUUGGAACUUCUGUUUAGGUUACUAGGUUGAUGGUGGCCCCCUUCAGCCUGUACAUCAGAUGGCUCCCUGUCACUUACAGUACUCAAGGUGUCUUGAAAAAGACACAAAGGAAUACAGUCGUGCCCUCACUGAUUUGUUCUCUUUGGCAGAUUUCAAUGUAUUACAGUUCUGUGUGCUUAGUUGAGGGAAUUUAUAAAUUAUAUUAUCUAGUUUAGUGUGUCUUCCCAAAUAGACAAGUAGAGUUAAAAGAUUCCUCUAAACUUCAGAUUUAAAAAAUAAUAAUAACAUGAGCAUAAAGAAAGAAGAAAAAGUAGAACUGACACUUCCAGUCCUAAUAAGAGCUCUUUUGUCAGCCACAAUGUCAGGUAUAGCAAUGGCCCUCUAACUGUGGAAAAGAAUCUGUCAAAACAAAUUCAGAAUUAUGAAGUAGGUUUCAUGGGUUCACAUUCAUAAUUAUUAAGGAUGACCUUCAUUUAAG
Molecule: long non-coding RNA, 1477 nt
Filed under: Homo sapiens (human)
Lineage: Eukaryota; Metazoa; Chordata; Mammalia; Primates; Hominidae
Description: HSALNT0367810
Source: RNAcentral